AAAUUGAAGAGUUUGAUCAUGGCUCAGAUUGAACGCUGGCGGCAGGCCUAACACAUGCAAGUCGAACGGUAACAGGAAACAGCUUGCUGUUUCGCUGACGAGUGGCGGACGGGUGAGUAAUGUCUGGGAAACUGCCUGAUGGAGGGGGAUAACUACUGGAAACGGUAGCUAAUACCGCAUAACGUCGCAAGACCAAAGAGGGGGACCUUCGGGCCUCUUGCCAUCGGAUGUGCCCAGAUGGGAUUAGCUAGUAGGUGGGGUAACGGCUCACCUAGGCGACGAUCCCUAGCUGGUCUGAGAGGAUGACCAGCCACACUGGAACUGAGACACGGUCCAGACUCCUACGGGAGGCAGCAGUGGGGAAUAUUGCACAAUGGGCGCAAGCCUGAUGCAGCCAUGCCGCGUGUAUGAAGAAGGCCUUCGGGUUGUAAAGUACUUUCAGCGGGGAGGAAGGGAGUAAAGUUAAUAC
RNAcentral lists this ribosomal RNA (469 nucleotides) under Escherichia coli. RNAcentral's name for it is "bacterial SSU rRNA". It matches the Rfam family "Bacterial small subunit ribosomal RNA", at positions 1 to 466 of the family's 1533-position model. Lineage: Bacteria; Pseudomonadati; Pseudomonadota; Gammaproteobacteria; Enterobacterales; Enterobacteriaceae. The record is from RNAcentral.